UCCCCGCAGCCAUGAUGGUGGCCUCCUCCAUCCAUCCAGCCUCGGAGCUUCCCGCCUGCAACCGGAAACUCUCUUGUACUUUAGCACACACCGAAAUACUCGAAUCCCCAUCUAAUCCAUCUGAACUCGAAUAAGGAAAUCCCGUUGACAAAAGUAGGGUUACCGCGUACCGGACGACGCGCGGGCUCCUCCCCUUCCCUCGAUCCUCAAGAUGAGCACCCCCACCGGAAGAAUGAGGGAGGAGGCGAUGAAGGGCGGCAUAUGCCGAUGCACCCAUUGGCGGCGGACGGAGGCGUGGUUUUUACGGAGCUUGCCACUACGGUAGGCGGUAGCCAUUUCUUCAUUUUUCUUUUUGUUUUUAAUCGACCUCUUUCUUACUUCGGGCCCAAAAACAUUACAUCGAAUCUUCGGACACAUGUAUGGAGUAUUAAAUAUAAAUAAAAAGAAAACCUAAUUGUAUAGUUAUGGGGAAAAUAGUGAGACGAA
This 486-nucleotide long non-coding RNA is filed under the name Oryza sativa (Asian cultivated rice). RNAcentral describes it as "long non-coding RNA (OSAT_LNC001824)". The record is from RNAcentral. Lineage: Eukaryota; Viridiplantae; Streptophyta; Magnoliopsida; Poales; Poaceae.